GAUGAACGCUGACAGAAUGCUUAACACAUGCAAGUCUACUUGAUCCUUCGGGUGAUGGUGGCGGACGGGUGAGUAACGCGUAAAGAACUUGCCCUGCAGUCUGGGACAACAUUUGGAAACGAAUGCUAAUACCGGAUAUUAUGUGAGUUUCGCAUGAAAUUCAUAUGAAAGCUAUAUGCGCUGCAGGAGAGCUUUGCGUCCUAUUAGCUAGUUGGUGAGGUAACGGCUCACCAAGGCGAUGAUAGGUAGCCGGCCUGAGAGGGUGAACGGCCACAAGGGGACUGAGACACGGCCCUUACUCCUACGGGAGGCAGCAGUGGGGAAUAUUGGACAAUGGACCAAAAGUCUGAUCCAGCAAUUCUGUGUGCACGAUGAAGUUUUUCGGAAUGUAAAGUGCUUUCAGUUGGGACGAAGUAAGUGACGGUACCAACAGAAGAAGCGACGGCUAAAUACGUGCCAGCAGCCGCGGUAAUACGUAUGUCGCAAGCGUUAUCCGGAUUUAUUGGGUUUAAAGGGCGCGUAGGCGGGACGUCAAGUCAGCGGUAAAAGACUGCAGCUAAACUGUAGCACGCCGUUGAAACUGGCGCCCUGGAGACGAGACGAGGGAGGCGGAACAAGUGAAGUAGCGGUGAAAUGCAUAGAUAUCACUUGGAACCCCGAUAGCGAAGGCAGCUUCCCAGGCUCGUUCUGACGCUGAUGCGCGAGAGCGUGGGUAGCGAACAGG
This 724-nucleotide ribosomal RNA is filed under the name uncultured bacterium. Its description in RNAcentral is "bacterial SSU rRNA". It matches the Rfam family "Bacterial small subunit ribosomal RNA", at positions 28 to 776 of the family's 1533-position model. The record is from RNAcentral.